RNAcentral lists this ribosomal RNA (425 nucleotides) under uncultured bacterium. RNAcentral describes it as "partial 16S ribosomal RNA". It matches the Rfam family "Bacterial small subunit ribosomal RNA", at positions 354 to 796 of the family's 1533-position model. The record is from RNAcentral.
GUGGGGAAUCUUGCGCAAUGGGCGAAAGCCUGACGCAGCCAUGCCGCGUGAAUGAUGAAGGUCUUAGGAUUGUAAAAUUCUUUCACCGGGGACGAUAAUGACGGUACCCGGAGAAGAAGCUCCGGCUAACUUCGUGCCAGCAGCCGCGGUAAUACGAAGGGGGCUAGCGUUGCUCGGAAUUACUGGGCGUAAAGGGCGCGUAGGCGGACAGCUUAGUCAGAGGUGAAAGCCCAGGGCUCAACCUUGGAAUUGCCUUUGAUACUGGCUGUCUUGAGUUUGGGAGAGGUGAGUGGAACUCCGAGUGUAGAGGUGAAAUUCGUAGAUAUUCGGAAGAACACCAGUGGCGAAGGCGGCUCACUGGCCCAAUACUGACGCUGAGGCGCGAAAGCGUGGGGAGCAAACAGGAUUAGAAACCCUUGUAGUCC